Molecule: long non-coding RNA, 829 nt
Organism: Amphiprion ocellaris (clown anemonefish)
Lineage: Eukaryota; Metazoa; Chordata; Actinopteri; Pomacentridae
Source: Ensembl
AGUGAUUCAAACGUCACGAGUCACGUGACCAAACCACGCCUCGGCACAGUGGCUCGAUACGUUUGCUUCAUGAGCUACAGCGCAUGUGUGGAAGCCUCGGGUAUCAGAGGACCAUCACUAGUCGCGACGUCUGGUAGCAUCUCUGGCUGCUGUUGAUCUUGUUUUUGGAGUAAAACACGGUGGAAGCUGAAUUAGUGAGGAUGACUCCUGCUCCUGUCAUCUCUAAGCUCCUCACACAUCUUUACCUGCACAUGAGGAAAAUCACUCCUGUAGAAUGCAGAUGUUCAGAGGGAGAUGAUGCCACAUCUGGUCCAGCUGAUGGAAGGUCUUGAAGUUCUCUGACUGGCCUCUGACUGAAGAUGGUCGUCUCACUGGAUUUAAAGUUCAGAUGCUCAGUAACAAACUCCACCAAUGAGCCAACAGGGAAGCUUUAGGUUUAUUAAAUGUUACUAUGAAGGUUUCGCUGUUUUUCUUUGUGAAUGCAAUGUGCUCCAACUGAAACUUGAAUUAGAACUUAGAAGUAAAUCCUUCCAUCUGAAAGAAUUAGUUGCAUUAAUAACCUCAUAACAUUCUAAUUUUUAUUCCAGUCUUGGUUGGAAAUAGAAUCUCUGUAGUGAUUCAGGUAAAAAACUGAACUUCACAGGCAUGUUGGAGCAAAACAACCAGAUGAAAACUGUGAUGGUGUUGGAUUGUCAGACCGUAAUGUUGCAGCUCAAAGCAGCUUUUCUAUCUCAGUUCAUUCUGACAUUCAGCUAUGAAUCAACACAGCAGAUGGUGAUCCAUGCUGUGGAAGUCUCACAUCUCCUGAUUUAAUGGAGCUGCUUUGCAC